UUCAGGAGGAACGGCAAAAGGGGGCUGCUGCUCGUCUGUGGUACUCGUUGGCUGUCUGUCUACAACUCUGCAUAGCCGUAACGCGAUGAUGAUGACAUGUGAUGUCAGCGCGAGCAGGGUGCGCGGGCAGGUUACAGGGGUCGUAUGCCAGCUCAGCAAGUGCCUAGCCAACGGGUAGCUUUUCUCCAGGCUGUGUGCGGUAUGUCUUGGAUUUGCCAUUAAUUUACCAUCUGCAGGGCUUGGAUGUGCUUGAGCUCUCUGGGGAUUCUUCCAUCUCCAUCAGUGAUGAAAAUACAGUCCAGAUGUCUUCAUCCCUUUUACCAUCCAUCCACAGUCAUACUGUUUUCACAAUAUCAGGACUGCCAAAAGAGCCUUCAUCACUUAAGAAGGGUGCUGAACAAAAACCCUUUUUGGCUGAUUUUAGAGAGGACCGUGUAAGGUUCAUAAAAUAUUCGUCCUCAGUGACGUGCUUCAAUAAAAAAAAAACUAACUUUUCAAUUUGAUUUGUGUUUAUAUAUGAGAUCUAAUAAAUCAUUGGCAGAAACACACGAUGAAAAACUUUGGACUCUCAUUCUACACUGAAAAAAGUGAUGACUGUCCCAGCGGUUUUCCGUGCACAUGAAAAUGUUUAUAUCCGGCCAUUAAAAGAGAAGUGUCCCUCAGUUUCACGUGUUGGACCUCUGACCCUAACAUCAAGGAUGCUCUCUUCCUGUUUUGGCUGUAACAGUGCUGCUAGGUGAAUAUACAGGGUCAUAUGACCCUGAUACAGGAUGGACAGGAACAGGAACAGACCUGUCCCAAUAGAGUGGACAGGAGUAAAAUCCAGUGUGUGCAGGUUUGGUGCGGAUGCUCAGAUGAUGAGGGAAGAAUGACGCAUAUCUGAACUAAAUUUACACUUUCUCGUGAUGUUUAUGAAAAAUCUGAUUUUUUUACACUUAUCAGGUAAGCCAAUAGCCUGGCUAGAGCAUGAAAUGAUUGGAUAUAAUGUUUGUGUUGUGGCUUUAGUGGAAGCCGACUGACUUACAGCUAUAGACUACACUGCCCACUACAGGUCAAAGUUGGCAAGUCCUACAACACAUGAACCAUUAAAAAUACAUUUCAACCACAACAUCUAAAAUUUCACUGGCAUUAAAAUAAACUAUAUAAAGAUAUUUUAAAAUAAUAGACCUAAAUAUCACAACUUUUUUUUUCUGAAUCACAAGUUGCUUAUGAAUCAUGACAUUCACCUGUUCUUCUUGUCACCCUCAUACUUUUCUCAGUAGGUAUCAUGUCCUCUGCAGAGUCAAAGCUCUGUCUAGACAUGCUGAAGGGGAAAAGGUAGCGACUCAUGCUUACUUUGCAGUACAGUCAUAAACAGGGGCAAUGAUCCAUGUUUAUAGCUCUCUGAUUUCUACUGGUAUGGUUUUCUCUUGCAAUGACAAGCUGUGUGUAUAUCAGCAAAUACUGGAGACAGAAAGAGAGAACAGUGAAUAUCUGGAGUAAUGCUCAGGUUCAGCGUAACUCAAAAAUAGGGGUUGAUCUAAUACUCUUUAUUACUGCCAGACUCACCCUGACCAUCGUCAACAAUGAUGUUACAAAAAUAAAUAUAGAACAGCAGAACAAUCACAUACAUUACACAUCCAUAAUAAAUAUAUCCAUACUAACAUCUAGCUCAGCUCUAUUAGGUCAAGUCAUGUGUCAGAUUUCUGACAGAAACUAAUACUUUUACUCAGCAAGGACACAUUAAAUUGAUUAAGUGACAAUGAAAUUUAAAAUAAAUGCUAUUCUUUUGAAUUUUAUAUUCAUCAAACAAUACUGAAAAAAAAGAAAUCACACUUUCCACAAAAAUAUUAAGCAGCACAACUGUUAUCAUUGAUAAAAAUACGAAAUGUUUCUUCAUCAUCAAAUCAGCAUAUUAGAAUGAUUUCUGAAGGAUCAUGUGUUACUGCUGAAGACUGGAGUAAUGAUGCUGAAAA
Megalobrama amblycephala (Wuchang bream) is the source of this 1955-nucleotide long non-coding RNA. RefSeq lists it as uncharacterized. The record is from RefSeq and is a predicted model, not a curated record. NCBI's taxonomy places the organism in Eukaryota, Metazoa, Chordata, Actinopteri, Cypriniformes, Xenocyprididae. The transcript has 3 exons.